GAACGAAAUCAGCAAGGGGGGAAGCCAUAGUUAGGGUUUUCAAGCUUCCAAGCUCCAUAAUCAAGAAGUACGAAACUCGAGGUUAGACAAAGGGAAGAAUAAAGUUGAAGACUAAGUUGGUGAAUUUGGCUAUAAUUGGUACCGAGGUAAGUUUACGGUAAAUAAAUGCAAUAUUUCCAUAUUUAUUAUCAAUGCUGUUAUUUUCCAGCAACUAUGAAUUUAUUUUAUGAAUUUAUUUGAUGAUGAUCUAAGCAUGAAAUGAUAGAGAAUUAAAAUUUAAAAGUCCCGUUGAUACAUAAGGAUGGUACUGGAUACGAAUGUCAUGACAUUUGGGUAAAGAGAUCCCAUGUAAGACCAUGUCUGGGACAUGGCAUUGGCAUCCUUAAGAUCAUAAGAGGUCCCCUGUAAGACCAUGUCUGGGACAUGGCAUGGGCACCAAGACGAGAGGUCCCUUGUAAGACCAUGUCUGGGACAUGGCGUUGGCACCGAGAUGAGAGGUCCCCUAUAAGACCAUGUCUGGGACAUGGCAUGGGCACCAACAUGAGAACAUCCCAUGUAAGACCAUGUCUGGGACAUGGCUUUGGCAUGUUAUUAUCAGAAGAGACCCGAGUAUCCUUAUUAUUCCAAUGUAGCUCAACGGGCUUGUAAACGAAUUAUGUUCAUGAAAGUUCAGUUUAAAGCAUAAAUGGCAAGCUCAGGUAAGUUAUAAGAGUUAAGAACUUAUUAUACUAUCAAUUGAUGUUCAACGAUGCAGCAAGAGUUGAGUAAGUUAUGUACACAAGUAUUCUAAGUAAACAAGCAAGAGAACUAGUAUGAGAUUAACUAAAGAGUAAACUAGAGAUAUAGACAUUUGAGUUUAAUUAUUUAAGUUAAAUAUUGUUAUUUAUUUGCUAGUAAACUUACUAAGCUUUAUGCUUACUUCUUUUAUUUCUCUUUCUCUUAUAGUAUUGCAAAGCUACUUCAAGGAUCCUAAAGAAGUCGGAGAUCGUCCACACUAUCAACCACAACUGCUCGGUAUUUUAUAUCGAAUCACGUUUGAGUUAUGGCAUGUAUAGGGAUUUAGUUAUUUUGUAUGUUUGUGAUUAUGAUUUUGCUAAAGAAUGGUGUGUAAGUAUUUGAUGAUGUAUGGUUAUUAAAAUGGUUAAGUAUGAAGGUAUUUGUUGUUAUAAGAGUCUAGGUGAUAAAUUAUGCAUGGAAAUCAUGAAAGGAUAAAAUUUUGCAAAGAAACAGAAUUCAGGCAGCAACAGUGAC
RNAcentral lists this long non-coding RNA (1251 nucleotides) under Gossypium raimondii (Peruvian cotton). Its description in RNAcentral is "long non-coding RNA (GRAI_LNC004798)". The record is from RNAcentral. Lineage: Eukaryota; Viridiplantae; Streptophyta; Magnoliopsida; Malvales; Malvaceae.